AGGACGAACGCUGGCGGCGUGCUUAAUACAUGCAAGUCGAGCGGUAAGGCCUUUCGGGGUACACGAGCGGCGAACGGGUGAGUAACACGUGGGUGAUCUGCCCUGCACUUCGGGAUAAGCCUGGGAAACUGGGUCUAAUACCGGAUAUGACCUCCUAUCGCAUGGUGGGUGGUGGAAAGAUUUAUCGGUGCAGGAUGGGCCCGCGGCCUAUCAGCUUGUUGGUGGGGUAAUGGCCUACCAAGGCGACGACGGGUA
RNAcentral lists this ribosomal RNA (255 nucleotides) under uncultured soil bacterium. Its description in RNAcentral is "partial 16S ribosomal RNA". It matches the Rfam family "Bacterial small subunit ribosomal RNA", at positions 26 to 285 of the family's 1533-position model. The record is from RNAcentral.